RNAcentral lists this ribosomal RNA (264 nucleotides) under uncultured archaeon. Its description in RNAcentral is "partial 16S ribosomal RNA". It matches the Rfam family "Archaeal small subunit ribosomal RNA", at positions 718 to 982 of the family's 1478-position model. The record is from RNAcentral.
AGUCACUGACAUUAGAUACCCCCGUAGUCCUAGCCGUAAACAAUGUGCGUUAGGUGUGUCGGUAACCACGCGUUACUGAUGCGCCGAAGAGAAAUCGUGAAACGCACCACCUGGGAAGUACGGUCGCAAGGCUGAAACUUAAAGGAAUUGGCGGGGAGCACCACAACAGGUGGAGCCUGCGGUUUAAUUGGAUUCAACGCCGGACAUCUCACCGGAUAAGGCAGCUGAAUGAUUGUCAAUCUGAAGGUUUUACAUGACUAGCUG